CCUACGGGAGGCAGCAGUGAGGAAUUUUGCGCAAUGGGCGAAAGCCUGACGCAGCAACGCCGCGUGGGUGAUGAAGGCCUUUGGGUCGUAAAGCCCUGUCAAGUGGGAAGAACCCAUAUGGUGCAAAUAGCGCCGUAUGCUGACGGUACCACUGAAGGAAGCACCGGCUAACUCCGUGCCAGCAGCCGCGGUAAUACGGGGGGUGCAAGCGUUAUUCGGAAUCAUUGGGCGUAAAGGGCGCGCAGGCGGCUGUCUAAGUCAGAUGUGAAAGCCCGGGGCUUAACCUCGGAAGUGCAUUUGAUACUGGAUGGCUUGAGUAUGGGAGAGGGAAGCGGAAUUCCUGGUGUAGAGGUGAAAUUCGUAGAUAUCAGGAGGAACAUCUGUGGCGAAGGCGGCUUCCUGGACCAAUACUGACGCUGAGGCGCGAAGGCGUGGGGAGC
Molecule: ribosomal RNA, 440 nt
Filed under: uncultured Desulfosarcina sp.
Lineage: Bacteria; Pseudomonadati; Thermodesulfobacteriota; Desulfobacteria; Desulfobacterales; Desulfosarcinaceae
Also listed under: 1 other name
Description: bacterial SSU rRNA
Rfam family: Bacterial small subunit ribosomal RNA
Source: RNAcentral